RNAcentral lists this ribosomal RNA (862 nucleotides) under uncultured Methanosphaerula sp. RNAcentral's name for it is "bacterial SSU rRNA". It matches the Rfam family "Archaeal small subunit ribosomal RNA", at positions 1 to 872 of the family's 1478-position model. Lineage: Archaea; Methanobacteriati; Methanobacteriota; Methanomicrobia; Methanomicrobiales; Methanoregulaceae. The record is from RNAcentral.
UUCCGGUUGAUCCUGCCAGAGGCCACUGCUAUCGGAGUUCGAUUAAGCCAUGCGAGUCGAGAGGGGAAAGCCCUCGGCAUACUGCUCAGUAACACGUGGAUAACCUGCCCUGCGGUGGGAAAUAACCCCGGGAAACUGGGGAUAAUGUCCCAUAGACUACGGAUACUGGAAUGUUCUGUAGUUCAAAGAUUUAUCGCCACAGGAUGGGUCUGCGGCCGAUUAGGUAGUUGUUGGGGUAACGGCCCAACAAGCCUUUGAUCGGUACGGGUUGUGGGAGCAAGAGCCCGGAGAUGGAUUCUGAGACACGAAUCCAGGCCCUACGGGGCGCAGCAGGCGCGAAAACUUUACAAUGCGGGAAACCGUGAUAAGGGAACUCCGAGUGUCCGUAAAUGCGGACUGUCCGUAUGUUUAAAAAGCAUGCGAAGAAAGGGCCGGGCAAGACCGGUGCCAGCCGCCGCGGUAAUACCGGCGGCUCGAGUGGUGGCCACUAUUAUUGGGCUUAAAGCGUUCGUAGCUGGGUUGUUAAGUUUCUUGGGAAAUCUACCGGCUUAACCGAUAGGCGUCCAAGGGAUACUGGCAAUCUAGGGACCGGGAGAGGCGAGGGGUACUUCAGGGGUAGGAGUGAAAUCCUGUAAUCCUUGGGGGACCACCUGUGGCGAAGGCGCCUCACCAGAACGGCUCCGACAGUGAGGGACGAAAGCUGGGGGAGCAAACCGGAUUAGAUACCCGGGUAGUCCCAGCCGUAAACGAUGCGCGUUAGGUGUAUCGAUGACCACGAGUCAUCGAGGUGCCGAAGGGAAACCGUGAAACGCGCCGCCUGGGAAGUACGGUCGCAAGGCUGAAACUUAAAGGAAUUGGCGGG